This 72-nucleotide transfer RNA is filed under the name Camelus bactrianus (Bactrian camel). It matches the Rfam family "tRNA". From Rfam's summary of the family: Transfer RNA (tRNA) molecules are approximately 80 nucleotides in length. Their secondary structure includes four short double-helical elements and three loops (D, anti-codon, and T loops). RNAcentral also lists the same sequence under 2 other names. Lineage: Eukaryota; Metazoa; Chordata; Mammalia; Artiodactyla; Camelidae. The record is from Rfam by way of RNAcentral.
GAGGGUAUAGCUCAGUGGUAGAGUGCGUGCUUUGCAUGUACAAGGUCCUGAGUUCAAUCCCCAGUACCUCUU